RNAcentral lists this ribosomal RNA (475 nucleotides) under uncultured bacterium. RNAcentral describes it as "bacterial SSU rRNA". It matches the Rfam family "Bacterial small subunit ribosomal RNA", at positions 37 to 507 of the family's 1533-position model. The record is from RNAcentral.
UGGCGGCAGGCUUAACACAUGCAAGUCGAGCGGUAGCAGAUCUAGCUUGCUAGAUGCUGACGAGCGGCGGACGGGUGAGUAACGCGUAGGAACCUGCCCAGUAGUGGGGGAUAGCCCGGGGAAACUCGGAUUAAUACCGCAUACGCUCUACGGAGGAAAGAGGGGGCUUCGGCUCUCGCUAUUGGAUGGGCCUGCGUGAGAUUAGCUAGUUGGUGAGGUAAUGGCUCACCAAGGCGACGAUCUCUAGCUGGUCUGAGAGGAUGAUCAGCCACACUGGGACUGAGACACGGCCCAGACUCCUACGGGAGGCAGCAGUGGGGAAUAUUGCACAAUGGGCGCAAGCCUGAUGCAGCCAUGCCGCGUGUGUGAAGAAGGCUUUCGGGUUGUAAAGCACUUUCAGUGGGGAGGAAGGCCUCGUAGUUAAUAGCUGCGAGGAUUGGCGUUACCCACAGAAGAAGCACCGGCUAACUCCGUG